RNAcentral lists this ribosomal RNA (1372 nucleotides) under uncultured bacterium. RNAcentral describes it as "bacterial SSU rRNA". It matches the Rfam family "Bacterial small subunit ribosomal RNA", at positions 28 to 1381 of the family's 1533-position model. The record is from RNAcentral.
GAUGAACGCUGGCGGCGUGCCUAAUACAUGCAAGUCGAGCGAACGGACGAGAAGCUUGCUUCUCUGAUGUUAGCGGCGGACGGGUGAGUAACACGUGGAUAACCUACCUAUAAGACUGGGAUAACUUCGGGAAACCGGAGCUAAUACCGGAUAAUAUUUUGAACCGCAUGGUUCAAAAGUGAAAGACGGUCUUGCUGUCACUUAUAGAUGGAUCCGCGCUGCAUUAGCUAGUUGGUAAGGUAACGGCUUACCAAGGCAACGAUGCAUAGCCGACCUGAGAGGGUGAUCGGCCACACUGGAACUGAGACACGGUCCAGACUCCUACGGGAGGCAGCAGUAGGGAAUCUUCCGCAAUGGGCGAAAGCCUGACGGAGCAACGCCGCGUGAGUGAUGAAGGUCUUCGGAUCGUAAAACUCUGUUAUUAGGGAAGAACAUAUGUGUAAGUAACUGUGCACAUCUUGACGGUACCUAAUCAGAAAGCCACGGCUAACUACGUGCCAGCAGCCGCGGUAAUACGUAGGUGGCAAGCGUUAUCCGGAAUUAUUGGGCGUAAAGCGCGCGUAGGCGGUUUUUUAAGUCUGAUGUGAAAGCCCACGGCUCAACCGUGGAGGGUCAUUGGAAACUGGAAAACUUGAGUGCAGAAGAGGAAAGUGGAAUUCCAUGUGUAGCGGUGAAAUGCGCAGAGAUAUGGAGGAACACCAGUGGCGAAGGCGACUUUCUGGUCUGUAACUGACGCUGAUGUGCGAAAGCGUGGGGAUCAAACAGGAUUAGAUACCCUGGUAGUCCACGCCGUAAACGAUGAGUGCUAAGUGUUAGGGGGUUUCCGCCCCUUAGUGCUGCAGCUAACGCAUUAAGCACUCCGCCUGGGGAGUACGACCGCAAGGUUGAAACUCAAAGGAAUUGACGGGGACCCGCACAAGCGGUGGAGCAUGUGGUUUAAUUCGAAGCAACGCGAAGAACCUUACCAAAUCUUGACAUCCUUUGACAACUCUAGAGAUAGAGCCUUCCCCUUCGGGGGACAAAGUGACAGGUGGUGCAUGGUUGUCGUCAGCUCGUGUCGUGAGAUGUUGGGUUAAGUCCCGCAACGAGCGCAACCCUUAAGCUUAGUUGCCAUCAUUAAGUUGGGCACUCUAAGUUGACUGCCGGUGACAAACCGGAGGAAGGUGGGGAUGACGUCAAAUCAUCUUGCCCCUUAUGAUUUGGGCUACACACGUGCUACAAUGGACAAUACAAAGGGCAGCGAAACCGCGAGGUCAAGCAAAUCCCAUAAAGUUGUUCUCAGUUCGGAUUGUAGUCUGCAACUCGACUACAUGAAGCUGGAAUCGCUAGUAAUCGUAGAUCAGCAUGCUACGGUGAAUACGUUCCCGGGUCU